GCAUGGACGCUUGUACAAAUGUUCAGUCAGAGGUGCAAUUCUGAAGGACACUCUCCACUAACAUACAUGGACUUGAGCGACGUUCAAGAAAAUUCUGUCACGCCAACUUCUGCAGCAUGACUGUUCUCCCGCACUGAAAGACCUCCCUUGUAUGUCAACGUCAAAAAUCGCAGACCAAUCCAAG
Long non-coding RNA from Ornithodoros turicata, 184 nucleotides. RefSeq lists it as uncharacterized. Lineage: Eukaryota; Metazoa; Arthropoda; Arachnida; Ixodida; Argasidae. The transcript has 3 exons. The record is from RefSeq and is a predicted model, not a curated record.